ACAGCAGUCGCCACGGGAAUACAGAGGGUGCGAGCGUUAAUCGGAUUUACUGGGCGUAAAGCGUGCGUAGGCGGCUUUUUAAGUCGGAUGUGAAAUCCCUGAGCUUAACUUAGGAAUUGCAUUCGAUACUGGGAAGCUAGAGUAUGGGAGAGGAUGGUAGAAUUCCAGGUGUAGCGGUGAAAUGCGUAGAGAUCUGGAGGAAUACCGAUGGCGAAGGCAGCCAUCUGGCCUAAUACUGACGCUGAGGUACGAAAGCAUGGGGAGCAAACAGGAUUAGAUACCCCCGUAGUCCCUGUCUCUUAUAC
This 305-nucleotide ribosomal RNA is filed under the name uncultured bacterium. RNAcentral's name for it is "partial 16S ribosomal RNA". It matches the Rfam family "Bacterial small subunit ribosomal RNA", at positions 505 to 807 of the family's 1533-position model. The record is from RNAcentral.